Molecule: non-coding RNA, 1110 nt
Organism: Ctenopharyngodon idella (grass carp)
Lineage: Eukaryota; Metazoa; Chordata; Actinopteri; Cypriniformes; Xenocyprididae
Source: the annotation of a RefSeq genome assembly
CUGGAUAUGACCACAGUUUCAUUCACAUUAAGGCAAUAUUCAGGUACAGUUUUAUAAUAAAUCCAACUGUAUUAUAAACACAAACUACCUCUGGACUGCCAACAUGGAGAGACAUAUGCUGCUCAUGAUUCUCAUUGUAGUUACAGGUGGAUUUGCUGACAGAAUUGGACCAAGAGAAGGAAAUACUAAUAUAAUGAAGGGAGAAGGAGAGUCUGUGACACUGAGCUGUUCAUAUGAUACAAGCAGCAAUUAUGUUUAUCUUUACUGGUACAGACAGUAUCCAAAAGGAGAACCUCAGUAUUUACUGCUCAAAGGUGCUCGAUCAGAGAGUUAUGAGGAUAUAUCAGACCGUCGGUUUCGGUCAACAACAUCCCAAUCAUCCACUGAACUCAUUAUUGAUAAAGCAGCUCUGUCAGAUUCAGCUCUCUAUUAUUGUGCUCUAAGAGUAGUUGCCCAGUGAUACAAAAUGCCUGAGAAGCUUUACAAAAACUCAAAUACACAAUGUGCUUUAAACAGUCUUUAAUCUAACAGCAUCAAACCACAAUUUAUUAUUUUUUUGUAAACCACAGCUCUGGAAAUACCACUGUGGCAACACCUGUGAAUAUGGGAGAUUAUGAAAGGUUAUAUAUGGGGCAUGUGAAACUAUCAUUAACUAUUUGUUUUUCUAAAAAUUAAAUCAUUCAGUAAACAAAAGGAAUGGAAUUUGUUAACCUAAUAAUUGAACAAAAACUAACAUACAAACAAGAAAACAAAUAAAAAUGCAUUUAUUCUGAAGUAGUUCUCUGUUCAUUAUCUUCUAUAGAUCGAGAGGAUCUGCAGUCGUCAUGUAUAAUGGGAAGAGGAGGAGUUUAACACAGACAUUAGCGCACAAAUCUACUGUAGGUAACAAUCCAGUAGCUGGUCUUUGUUUAGCUUGUUCCUGGCAGUUUGUUGAGUGAACAUGUUCAUCUAUAUUAUGAUACUGAUGUCAGCAACUGAAGGUAUAAUAUUGCAAUUUUUUAGAAAAAUAUCACAUUGUUGGUUAGGUCCACCUCUUCAGGUUUCCUCAACCUUGUUGUUGUGAACUUAUAGCAACAAUAAAACUGUAUGGUGCCAAAAAAUCUUUCUUUA